AGAGUUUGAUCAUGGCUCAGAACGAACGUUGGCGGCGUGGAUUAGGCAUGCAAGUCGGACGAAGCGCGGGGGGCAACCCCCGCGACUGAGUGGCGAAAGGGGCAGUAAGGCGUGGCUAACCUACCCCGGGGACGGGGAUAGCCUCCCUAACGGGAGGGUAAGACCCGGCGAGUUGAGUGGAGGGCAUCCUUUACUCAGGAAAGGAUUUAUCGCCUCGGGAGGGGGUCACGUGGUAUUAGCUAGACGGCGGGGUAACGGCCCACCGUGGCGAAGAUGCCUAGCGGGUGUGAGAGCACGACCCGCGCCACUGGCACUGAGACACUGGCCAGACUCCUACGGGAGGCUGCAGUCGAGGAUCUUCGGCAAUGGGCGCAAGCCUGACCGAGCGACGCCGCGUGUGCGAUGAAGGCCUUCGGGUUGUAAAGCACUGUCGAGGGGGAGGAAAGCCCGCAAGGGCCUGACCUAUCCCUGGAGGAAGCACGGGCUAAGUUCGUGCCAGCCGCCGCGGUAAUUC
RNAcentral lists this ribosomal RNA (514 nucleotides) under uncultured bacterium. RNAcentral describes it as "bacterial SSU rRNA". It matches the Rfam family "Bacterial small subunit ribosomal RNA", at positions 8 to 526 of the family's 1533-position model. The record is from RNAcentral.